This 691-nucleotide unclassified non-coding RNA is filed under the name Hevea brasiliensis (rubber tree). The record is from RNAcentral. Lineage: Eukaryota; Viridiplantae; Streptophyta; Magnoliopsida; Malpighiales; Euphorbiaceae.
CUCUCUCAGUCCUUAUAGAUAGCUAAAAUUCCUUUUCUUUUUUAAUGAGCAUUUCAUACUAGUUUGACAUCAAUUGCUCUUUCUUACGCAAUUUUCUUUGUGUUUAUAUUCAUUGGUAAUAAACAAAUUAUUUGCAAACUUGAAGUUCAUGUCACUGAGGAUUCUGUUAGUUGUUGAUCUCUGAGGUUUCAAGUUUACUUAUUUCAUAUAAUAGUUCACUUUCCCUCAUUAGAAUAUUCGAUUUCAUUGCCUUUUAAUGCACUUUCUCUGUGUUAUUGGCUUAUCUGAGCCAUUAUUCAUUUAACUUUUUACUUGAAUGAUAAAGUGAGUUGUUUUAUUGUAUAUCUCACAAAUAUUUGUAAAUCAAUCUAAUAAUUUGAUGAUUCUCAAGAUUAGUGGUUGCUGGUAUUUCGUGUGACAUCUGUCCUAACUAAUUGGAGUUCUAUUUCUAUCUUAAUACAUUAUGCGCACAAGUUACAGGCAUAGAUUGACCUUGAUUUGCUUCAUUUAUCCCUCAGGAAAUAUGGAACUGGCCAGCACUUCAAAUGCUAGUAGCAUUUUGUGGUUCUUCAGGGAUAGAGGUUUUGAUGAUAAGAGCAUUCAUGAAUUGUUUAGAAAGUGCAAGCGCCUCGAGGACAUUCAAAAGGAAAGAGCAUCUGAAAAUUGGUCUUACCUGAAAAGCAUUGGCAUU